RNAcentral lists this ribosomal RNA (1557 nucleotides) under Enterococcus faecium. Its description in RNAcentral is "bacterial SSU rRNA". It matches the Rfam family "Bacterial small subunit ribosomal RNA". The record is from RNAcentral. Lineage: Bacteria; Bacillati; Bacillota; Bacilli; Lactobacillales; Enterococcaceae.
UUAUGAGAGUUUGAUCCUGGCUCAGGACGAACGCUGGCGGCGUGCCUAAUACAUGCAAGUCGAACGCUUCUUUUUCCACCGGAGCUUGCUCCACCGGAAAAAGAGGAGUGGCGAACGGGUGAGUAACACGUGGGUAACCUGCCCAUCAGAAGGGGAUAACACUUGGAAACAGGUGCUAAUACCGUAUAACAAUCGAAACCGCAUGGUUUUGAUUUGAAAGGCGCUUUCGGGUGUCACUGAUGGAUGGACCCGCGGUGCAUUAGCUAGUUGGUGAGGUAACGGCUCACCAAGGCCACGAUGCAUAGCCGACCUGAGAGGGUGAUCGGCCACAUUGGGACUGAGACACGGCCCAAACUCCUACGGGAGGCAGCAGUAGGGAAUCUUCGGCAAUGGACGAAAGUCUGACCGAGCAACGCCGCGUGAGUGAAGAAGGUUUUCGGAUCGUAAAACUCUGUUGUUAGAGAAGAACAAGGAUGAGAGUAACUGUUCAUCCCUUGACGGUAUCUAACCAGAAAGCCACGGCUAACUACGUGCCAGCAGCCGCGGUAAUACGUAGGUGGCAAGCGUUGUCCGGAUUUAUUGGGCGUAAAGCGAGCGCAGGCGGUUUCUUAAGUCUGAUGUGAAAGCCCCCGGCUCAACCGGGGAGGGUCAUUGGAAACUGGGAGACUUGAGUGCAGAAGAGGAGAGUGGAAUUCCAUGUGUAGCGGUGAAAUGCGUAGAUAUAUGGAGGAACACCAGUGGCGAAGGCGGCUCUCUGGUCUGUAACUGACGCUGAGGCUCGAAAGCGUGGGGAGCAAACAGGAUUAGAUACCCUGGUAGUCCACGCCGUAAACGAUGAGUGCUAAGUGUUGGAGGGUUUCCGCCCUUCAGUGCUGCAGCUAACGCAUUAAGCACUCCGCCUGGGGAGUACGACCGCAAGGUUGAAACUCAAAGGAAUUGACGGGGGCCCGCACAAGCGGUGGAGCAUGUGGUUUAAUUCGAAGCAACGCGAAGAACCUUACCAGGUCUUGACAUCCUUUGACCAUGUACACACCGCCCGUCACACCACGAGAGUUUGUAACACUGGUGCAUGGUUGUCGUCAGCUCGUGUCGUGAGAUGUUGGGUUAAGUCCCGCAACGAGCGCAACCCUUAUUGUUAGUUGCCAUCAUUCAGUUGGGCACUCUAGCAAGACUGCCGGUGACAAACCGGAGGAAGGUGGGGAUGACGUCAAAUCAUCAUGCCCCUUAUGACCUGGGCUACACACGUGCUACAAUGGGAAGUACAACGAGUCGCGAAGUCGCGAGGCUAAGCUAAUCUCUUAAAGCUUCUCUCAGUUCGGAUUGCAGGCUGCAACUCGCCUGCAUGAAGCCGGAAUCGCUAGUAAUCGCGGAUCAGCACGCCGCGGUGAAUACGUUCCCGGGCCUUGUACACGCCGCCCGUCACACCACGAGAGUUUGUAACACCCGAAGUCGGUGAGGUAACCUUUUUGGAGCCAGCCGCCUAAGGUGGGAUAGAUGAUUGGGGUGAAGUCGUAACAAGGUAGCCGUAUCGGAAGGUGCGGCUGGAUCACCUCCUUU